This 609-nucleotide ribosomal RNA is filed under the name uncultured bacterium. Its description in RNAcentral is "bacterial SSU rRNA". It matches the Rfam family "Bacterial small subunit ribosomal RNA", at positions 305 to 921 of the family's 1533-position model. The record is from RNAcentral.
CGGCCACACUGGAACUGAGACACGGUCCAGACUCCUACGGGAGGCAGCAGUGGGGAAUCUUGCACAAUGGACGAAAGUCUGAUGCAGCAACGCCGCGUGGGGGAUGAAGCUUUUCGGAGUGUAAACCCCUUUCGACCCGGAAGAAAGCCCGCAAGGGUUUGACGGUACGGGUAUAAGAAGCCCCGGCUAACUACGUGCCAGCAGCCGCGGUAAAACGUAGGGGGCCAGCGUUGCUCGGAAUUACUGGGCGUAAAGGGUCCGUAGGCGGCGUGGCAAGUCGGUAGUGAAAUCUCUGGGCUUAACCCAGAGGCUGCUGCCGAAACUGCCGUGCUAGAGUGUGAGAGAGGCGAGUGGAAUUACGGGUGUAGCGGUGAAAUGCGUAGAUAUCCGUAGGAACAUCCGAGGCGAAGGCGGCUCGCUGGAUCACAACUGACGCUGAGGGACGAAAGCUAGGGGAGCAAACAGGAUUAGAUACCCUGGUAGUCCUAGCCCUAAACCAUCAGGACUUGGGGUGUGCCCUGUACGGGGCACGUCCCGUAGCUAACGCGUUAAGUCCUGCGCCUGGGGAGUACGGUCGCAAGGCUGAAACUCAAAGGAAUGACGAAGGCG